UGUUAUUCACAAGACAAGAUUUCAUCCCUCAAAAAGUUUUCCAAGUUCCACCUCUCGGAAAAAUAUAUUCAUUUCGGUGAAAUCUAAGUGUUGAGUUCGCUCUUCACAAGACUAGAUUUCAUCCCUUAAGGAUUUUUCCAAGUUCCACCUCUUGGAAAAAUAUAUUCAUUUAGCUCGCUCUUCACAAGACUAGAUUUU
This 198-nucleotide small RNA is filed under the name Arabidopsis thaliana (thale cress). Its description in RNAcentral is "ATSL089050". Lineage: Eukaryota; Viridiplantae; Streptophyta; Magnoliopsida; Brassicales; Brassicaceae. The record is from RNAcentral.